Non-coding RNA from Ornithorhynchus anatinus (platypus), 138 nucleotides. NCBI's taxonomy places the organism in Eukaryota, Metazoa, Chordata, Mammalia, Monotremata, Ornithorhynchidae. The record is from Rfam.
UCCCUCUCAUGGUCACUUCUGGAGAGCUUCCAGUACUCUACCAGUCUCGACUGUGGGAGGAAGAGUCAAGCAGAGGCCUACGCAUUCCAUUCUGAGCUUGGGCAGUGGCUAGUGAAUGGAAGGCAAUCUGCUACAAAU